This 1354-nucleotide ribosomal RNA is filed under the name uncultured bacterium. Its description in RNAcentral is "partial 16S ribosomal RNA". It matches the Rfam family "Bacterial small subunit ribosomal RNA", at positions 36 to 1379 of the family's 1533-position model. The record is from RNAcentral.
CUAGCGGCAGGCUUAACACAUGCAAGUCGAGGGGCAGCGGGGAGGAAGCUUGCUUUCUCCGCCGGCGACCGGCGCACGGGUGAGUAACACGUAUGCAACCUGCCCCUGUCAGGGGGACAACCCGCCGAAAGGCGGGCUAAACCCGCGUACAUGCCACCGGGGCAUCCCGGAGGCAGGAAAGGCUUCGGCCGGACAGGGAUGGGCAUGCGGCGCAUUAGGCAGUAGGCGGGGUAACGGCCCACCUAACCGACGAUGCGUAGGGGUUCUGAGAGGAAGGUCCCCCACACUGGUACUGAGACACGGACCAGACUCCUACGGGAGGCAGCAGUGAGGAAUAUUGGUCAAUGGUCGGGAGACUGAACCAGCCAAGCCGCGUGAGGGAGGAAGGUACAGAGUAUCGUAAACCUCUUUUGUCAGGGAACAAAGGCGGGGACGUGUCCCCGGAUGAGUGUACCUGAAGAAAAAGCAUCGGCUAACUCCGUGCCAGCAGCCGCGGUAAUACGGAGGAUGCGAGCGUUAUCCGGAUUUAUUGGGUUUAAAGGGUGCGCAGGCGGUCUGUUAAGUCAGCGGUCAAAGCCCGGGGCUCAACCCCGGCCCGCCGUUGAAACUGGCAGUCUCGAGUUGGAGAGAAGUAUGCGGAAUGCGCGGUGUAGCGGUGAAAUGCAUAGAUAUCGCGCAGAACUCCGAUUGCGAAGGCAGCAUGCCGGCUCCACACUGACGCUGAGGCACGAAAGCGUGGGUAUCGAACAGGAUUAGAUACCCUGGUAGUCCACGCAGUAAACGAUGAAUGCUGGCUGUCCGGGGGGAUUGACCCCUGGGUGGCGAAGCGAAAGCGAUAAGCAUUCCACCUGGGGAGUACGCCGGCAACGGUGAAACUCAAAGGAAUUGACGGGGGCCCGCACAAGCGGAGGAACAUGUGGUUUAAUUCGAUGAUACGCGAGGAACCUUACCCGGGCUCAAACGGGGAGUGACUCAGGCAGAGACGCCUGUUUCCCACGGGACACUCCCCGAGGUGCUGCAUGGUUGUCGUCAGCUCGUGCCGUGAGGUGUCGGCUUAAGUGCCAUAACGAGCGCAACCCCCGCGUGCAGUUGCUAACAGAUAACGCUGAGGACUCUGCACGGACUGCCGGCGCAAGCCGCGAGGAAGGCGGGGAUGACGUCAAAUCAGCACGGCCCUUACGUCCGGGGCGACACACGUGUUACAAUGGGUGGUACAGCGGGAAGCCAGGCGGCGACGCCGAGCGGAACCCGAAAUCCACUCUCAGUUCGGAUCGGAGUCUGCAACCCGGCUCCGUGAAGCUGGAUUCGCUAGUAAUCGCGCAUCAGCCAUGGCGCGGUGAAUACGUUCCCGGGC